RNAcentral lists this ribosomal RNA (424 nucleotides) under uncultured bacterium. Its description in RNAcentral is "bacterial SSU rRNA". It matches the Rfam family "Bacterial small subunit ribosomal RNA", at positions 355 to 796 of the family's 1533-position model. The record is from RNAcentral.
UGGGGAAUAUUGGACAAUGGGCGAAAGCCUGAUCCAGCAAUGCCGCGUGAGUGAUGAAGGCCUUAGGGUUGUAAAGCUCUUUCGGGUGGGACGAUGAUGACGGUACCACCAGAAGAAGCCCCGGCUAACUUCGUGCCAGCAGCCGCGGUAAUACGAAGGGGGCUAGCGUUGUUCGGAAUUACUGGGCGUAAAGCGCACGCAGGCGGCGUGAUAAAUUAGAAGUGAAAGCCCCGGGCUUAACCUGGGAAUUGCUUUUAAGACUGUCACGCUAGAAUCCAGAAGAGGGUAGUGGAAUUCCGAGUGUAGAGGUGAAAUUCGUAGAUAUUCGGAAGAACACCAGUGGCGAAGGCGACUACCUGGUCUGGCAUUGACGCUCAUGUGCGAAAGCGUGGGGAGCAAACAGGAUUAGAUACCCCUGUAGUCC